GACGAACGCUGGCGGCGUGCCUAAUACAUGCAAGUCGAGCAAAGUUUUUCUGGUGCUUGCACUAGAAAAACUUAGCGGCGAACGGGUGAGUAACACGUAAAGAACCUGCCUCAUAGACUGGGACAACUAUUGGAAACGAUAGCUAAUACCGGAUAACAGUAUUUCUCGCAUGAGAGAUAUUUAAAAGUUGGUUAUGCUAACACUAUGAGAUGGCUUUGCGGUGCAUUAGCUAGUUGGUGGGGUAAAGGCCCACCAAGGCGACGAUGCAUAGCCGACCUGAGAGGGUGAUCGGCCACACUGGGACUGAGACACGGCCCAGACUCCUACGGGAGGCAGCAGUAGGGAAUCUUCCGCAAUGGGCGAAAGCCUGACGGAGCAACGCCGCGUGAGUGAAGAAGGAUUUCGGUUCGUAAAGCUCUGUUGUUAGGGAAGAAUGGAUAUGUAGUAACUAUACAUGUAAGAGACGGUACCUAACCAGAAAGCCACGGCUAACUACGUG
RNAcentral lists this ribosomal RNA (499 nucleotides) under uncultured bacterium. RNAcentral describes it as "partial 16S ribosomal RNA". It matches the Rfam family "Bacterial small subunit ribosomal RNA", at positions 28 to 507 of the family's 1533-position model. The record is from RNAcentral.